GUCCUGGCAGUAAACGGUGCACGUUUGGUGUGGGAGGAUUCGACCCCUUCCGUGCCGGAGCUAACGCGUUAAACGUGCCGCCUGGGAAGUACGGUCGCAAGAUUAAAACUCAAAGAAAUUGACGGGGGCCCGCACAAGCGGUGGAGUAUGUGGCUUAAUUCGAUGCAACGCGAAGAACCUUACCAGGGUUUUACAUGCAUCUCUAAGUCGGUGAAAGCCGGCUAGUGUAGCAAUACACAAUUUGCACAGGUGCUGCAUGGCUGUCGU
Molecule: ribosomal RNA, 267 nt
Filed under: uncultured bacterium
Lineage: Bacteria
Description: partial 16S ribosomal RNA
Rfam family: Bacterial small subunit ribosomal RNA
Source: RNAcentral